AUAAGAGGUCCCGCCUGCCCUGUGACCCUGGGUUUAACGGCCGCGGUAUUUUGACCGUGCGAAGGUAGCGCAAUCACUUGUCUUUUAAAUGGAGACCUGUAUGAAUGGCACGACGAGGGCUUAACUGUCUCCCUCUCCUGGUCAAUGAAAUUGAUCUCCCCGUGCAGAAGCGGGGAUAUUUUCAUAAGACGAGAAGACCCUAUGGAGCUUUAGACAAAAGGCAGACCACGUUUAACCUCCCCACCACAGGGCCAAACACAGUGUUCCCUAGCCUGAGUGUCUUUGGUUGGGGCGACCGCGGGGGAAAACCAAGCCCCCAUGUGGACUGGGGAAACCAUUCCCUAGAGCCAUGAGCUACAGCUCUUAGCAACAGAAUUUCUGACCAAAAAUGAUCCGGUAUAUACCGAUCAACGGACCAAGUUACCCUAGGGAUAACAGCGCAAUCCCCUCCCAGAGUCCCUAUCGACAAGGGGGUUUACGACCUCGAUGUUGGAUCAGGACAUCCUAAUGGUGCAGCCGCUGUUAAGGGUUCGUUUGUUCAACGAUUAAAGUCC
This 554-nucleotide ribosomal RNA is filed under the name Argentina sphyraena (European argentine). RNAcentral's name for it is "partial 16S ribosomal RNA". It matches the Rfam family "Bacterial large subunit ribosomal RNA", at positions 1845 to 2596 of the family's 2925-position model. Lineage: Eukaryota; Metazoa; Chordata; Actinopteri; Argentiniformes; Argentinidae. The record is from RNAcentral.